RNAcentral lists this ribosomal RNA (274 nucleotides) under uncultured bacterium. Its description in RNAcentral is "partial 16S ribosomal RNA". It matches the Rfam family "Bacterial small subunit ribosomal RNA", at positions 523 to 796 of the family's 1533-position model. The record is from RNAcentral.
ACACGUAGGGGGCAAGCGUUGUCCGGAAUUACUGGGCGUAAAGGGUGCGUAGGCGGCUUUUUAAGUCGGGUGUGAAAUAUCAUGGCUCAACCAUGGAAGUGCACUCGAAACUGGAAAGCUGGAGGUCAAGUAAGGGAGUCGGAAUUGCCAGUGUAGGGGUGAAAUCCGUAGAUAUUGGCAAGAACGCCAGUGGUGAAGACGGUCUCCUGUACUGAUACUGACGCUGAGGCACGAAAGCUAGGGGAGCGAACGGGAUUAGAUACCCCAGUAGUCC